GAUGAACGCUGGUGGCGUGCCUAACACAUGCAAGUCGAGCGAUUCUCUUCGGAGAAGAGCGGCGGACGGGUGCGUAACGCGUGGGUAACCUGCCCUGUACACACGGAUAACAUACCGAAAGGUAUGCUAAUACGAGAUAACAUGCUUUUAUCGCAUGGUAGAAGUAUCAAAGCUUUUGCGGUACAGGAUGGACCCGCGUCUGAUUAGCUAGUUGGUGAGGUAACGGCUCACCAAGGCGACGAUCAGUAGCCGACCUGAGAGGGUGAUCGGCCACAUUGGAACUGAGACACGGUCCAAACUCCUACGGGAAGCAGCAGUGGGGAAUAUUGCACAAUGGGCGAAAGCCUGAUGCAGCAACGCCGCGUGAGCGAUGAAGGCCUUCGGGUCGUAAAGCUCUGUCCUCAAGGAAGAUAAUGACGGUACUUGAGGAGGAAGCCCCGGCUAACUACGUG
RNAcentral lists this ribosomal RNA (452 nucleotides) under uncultured bacterium. RNAcentral describes it as "partial 16S ribosomal RNA". It matches the Rfam family "Bacterial small subunit ribosomal RNA", at positions 28 to 507 of the family's 1533-position model. The record is from RNAcentral.